This 448-nucleotide ribosomal RNA is filed under the name uncultured Burkholderia sp. RNAcentral's name for it is "bacterial SSU rRNA". It matches the Rfam family "Bacterial small subunit ribosomal RNA", at positions 202 to 637 of the family's 1533-position model. Lineage: Bacteria; Pseudomonadati; Pseudomonadota; Betaproteobacteria; Burkholderiales; Burkholderiaceae. The record is from RNAcentral.
GGGGGAUCUUAGGACCUCCCGCUACAGGGGCGGCCGAUGGCAGAUUAGCUAGUUGGUGGGGUAAAGGCCUACCAAGGCGACGAUCUGUAGCUGGUCUGAGAGGACGACCAGCCACACUGGGACUGAGACACGGCCCAGACUCCUACGGGAGGCAGCAGUGGGGAAUUUUGGACAAUGGGGGAAACCCUGAUCCAGCAAUGCCGCGUGUGUGAAGAAGGCCUUCGGGUUGUAAAGCACUUUUGUCCGGAAAGAAAACCUCUGGGUUAAUACCUCGGGGGGAUGACGGUACCGGAAGAAUAAGCACCGGCUAACUACGUGCCAGCAGCCGCGGUAAUACGUAGGGUGCAAGCGUUAAUCGGAAUUACUGGGCGUAAAGCGUGCGCAGGCGGUUCGCUAAGACAGAUGUGAAAUCCCCGGGCUUAACCUGGGAACUGCAUUUGUGACUGGC